GUCAGGAUGGCCGAGUGGUCUAAGGCGCCAGACUCAAGUUCUGGUCCUCGAACGAGGGCGUGGGUUCAAAUCCCACUUCUGACA
RNAcentral lists this transfer RNA (84 nucleotides) under Zingiber officinale. It matches the Rfam family "tRNA". Rfam says of the family: Transfer RNA (tRNA) molecules are approximately 80 nucleotides in length. Their secondary structure includes four short double-helical elements and three loops (D, anti-codon, and T loops). The record is from Rfam by way of RNAcentral. Lineage: Eukaryota; Viridiplantae; Streptophyta; Magnoliopsida; Zingiberales; Zingiberaceae.